CAAAAGUACCAAAAAAUACUGAGCCAGUUAAAAAUGAACUAUCAUAUGCAUUUACAGAACUUGAACACAUGGGAUCUCUACCACACAACUCCAGUUAAUAGUUUUAUUUCACCAACAGUCAAGCAUGGUAACUGAAUAGAUUACUUCACCACCAGUCUGGUCACUACUGUUGUAAGAUGACUUUAACGUACAUAAUACCGUCACAAUAACUGAUAAAAAAAACCCAAUAACUACAAACCUGACCAGCCACAAAUCACCACAAGUCAUUCUCAGUGACUAACUUAUGCAUUUGCAAACCAAACAUGGCUGCAGUUUGGUGAAACCUUAUGUGGCGGAAAACUACUGGCGCACAGCACAUUUAACAGUGGGAUUUUCUACACUACAGGCCGGGAGGUUUUUACAGAAAUAUCUUUCACAGAGAGCUCGUUCUGCACACAUUUUCAGAGAUGAAGACAUCCUGUCAGGAAUUGAAGAAUUGGCAGAAGAUGUUCUACUGCAGCAACUGGGAACAAGUCAUUGUGUUUUUCACCAUGUCACCUGCCGCCACAGACUGCUGCGUGAGAGCCCAAAGCAACAUCUGGACUGAGCAAGACUGCACACAGGACCCAGAUCUGUGGCUGAGGGGACGUGGAAAAGUUUUUGCAGAUUUUAAAUAGUUCUGCAUUUUUAGUAAUAAAAAUCAACUGCAGAACUGGAAUCAUUUCACAACCACAUCUUGAUGUACGCUGAGGCCUGGAUUAUAACCAUCAUGGGAUAGCAUUUUGCUGUAAGUCUGGAACAAAAAGUCCGGGAGAUGGAGUUUAUAUGCUGUUGCAUUUCCAAAGGACUACAGGUACUUGCCAGACCUGCAGAGUGCCAUUGUGAGAAGACAGCUGGCUGAUGACGAGGGGAUUCCCAGAAAGAGAGUGGUGCAUCCCUCAGACCCACGACAGCUCAGAGUUUCAGCCCUGACCACAGAGCAGCUCCUGGAGCAUCAAGUCAGGUAACAGGUAAACUGACAUACUUUACUGGAGCAACACACCUUAACAAAACAGCAGGGCACCUAAACCAGACUCUGAAUAAAAGAUUUCCUUACUGCAGAAAACAUGAAUUUAAGAUUCUGUUUCUUGUUUGACUACACUGCAAACUAUUUUUUGACAAUAUUUCUGUAAAAAAUAAUAACCACGUGAUAAUCACCAGCAGUCGACCAGAACAGUAGCCUUCCAAUCAACCUGGCAAAUGAAAAGAAAAGAUCACCUUGAUAGCAGAUGAACACUACUUUAAGAGUAUAUGUUAUUAAAGUUUGACAUUUUAGUUAUCAUUGUUGUGGUUGGUAAUUCUUCCAAGUAGAGAGCUGACAUUUAGAUGUAAUCAUCUCUAUAAUAAGUGUAAUUAAAUAUAAAGUUUUAUAGCAUAUUG
Molecule: long non-coding RNA, 1398 nt
Organism: Thunnus maccoyii (southern bluefin tuna)
Lineage: Eukaryota; Metazoa; Chordata; Actinopteri; Scombriformes; Scombridae
Exons: 5
Source: RefSeq, a predicted model, not a curated record